RNAcentral lists this ribosomal RNA (898 nucleotides) under uncultured Armatimonadota bacterium. RNAcentral describes it as "SSU rRNA". It matches the Rfam family "Bacterial small subunit ribosomal RNA", at positions 8 to 916 of the family's 1533-position model. The record is from RNAcentral. Lineage: Bacteria; Bacillati; Armatimonadota.
AGAGUUUGAUCCUGGCUCAGGACGAACGCUUGCGGCGUGCCUAAGAAAUGCAAGUCGAGCGAGGUUUAGAAGCUUGCUUCGAAAACCUAGCGGCGAACGGUCGCGUAACACGUAAGCAACCUGCCUCAAAGAGGGGGAUAGCCCGCCGAAAGGCGGAUUAAUACCGCAUGUGAACACACUCUUGCAUGUUAGUGUGUUUAAAGCAGCAAUGCACUUUGAGAUGGGCUUGCGGCCUAUCAGCUAGUUGGUGAGGUAACGGCUCACCAAGGCGACGACGGGUAGCUGGUCUGAGAGGAUGGUCAGCCGGACUGGGACUGAGAUACGGCCCAGACUCCUACGGGGGGCAGCAAUUAGGAAUCUUGCACAAUGGGCGAAAGCCUGAUGCAGCGACGCCGCGUGAAGGAUGACGGCCUUCGGGUUGUAAACUUCUUUUAUCAGGGAAGAAGGAUGUGACGGUACCUGAUGAAUAAGCCCCGGCUAACUACGUGCCAGCAGCCGCGGUAAUACGUAGGGGGCGAGCGUUGUCCGAAGUUACUGGGCGUAAAGCGCGCGUAGGCGGACCUUUAAGUCAGGGGUGAAAUUCCGAGGCUCAACCUCGGAACUGCCUUUGAAACUGGAGGUCUUGAGGUAUGGAGAGGGAAGUGGAAUUCCUGGUGUAGCGGUGAAAUGCGUAGAUAUCAGGAGGAACACCCGUGGCGAAGGCGGCUUCCUGGCCAUAUCCUGACGCUGAGGUGCGAAAGCUAGGGGAGCGAACGGGAUUAGAUACCCCGGUAGUCCUAGCCGUAAACGAUGGAUACUAGGUGUUAGAGGUAUCGACCCCUCUAGUGCCGCAGCUAACGCAAUAAGUAUCCCGCCUGGGGAGUACGGCCGCAAGGUUGAAACUUAAAGGAAUUGACGG